GAUGAAGAACGUAGCGAAAUGCGAUACUUGGUGUGAAUUGCAGAAUCCCGUGAACCAUCGAGUCUUUGAACGCAAGUUGCGCCUCAAGCCAUUAGGUUGAGGGCACGUCUGCCUGGGCGUCACAUAUCGUUGCCUGAUGCCAGUUUCCUCGUGAUGGGUGACUGUGCAGGGCGAAUGAUGGCUUCCCGUGAGCAUUGUUGCCUCAUGGUUGGUUGAAAAUUGAGUCCUUGGUAGGGAGCGCCGUGAUAGAUGGUGGUUGAGUGACGAACGAGACCCAAUCAUGUGAGACCCCUACCGAAUUUGGCCUUCAUGACCCACAUGCGUCUUUGGAACGCUCAUGACGAGACCUCAGGUCAGGCGGGGCUACCCGCUGAGUUUAAACAUAUCAAUAAGCGGAGGA
RNAcentral lists this unclassified non-coding RNA (400 nucleotides) under soil metagenome. Its description in RNAcentral is "partial contains 5.8S ribosomal RNA, internal transcribed spacer 2, and large subunit ribosomal RNA". The stretch from base 1 to 122 matches the Rfam family "5.8S ribosomal RNA", at positions 35 to 154 of the family's 154-position model. The record is from RNAcentral.